GACAGAGGGUGCAAACGUUGUUCGGAUUUACUGGGCGUAAAGCGCGUGUAGGCGGCUUUGCAAGUCGGAUGUGAAAGCCCACGGCUCAACCGUGGAAGUGCAUCCGAAACUGCAUGGCUCGAGUCCCGGAGAGGAAGGUGGAAUGCUUGGUGUAGAGGUGAAAUUCGUAGAUAUCAAGCAGAACACCUGCGGCGAAGGCGGCCUUCUGGACGGUGACUGACGCUGAGACGCGAAAGCGUGGGGAG
RNAcentral lists this ribosomal RNA (245 nucleotides) under uncultured bacterium. RNAcentral's name for it is "partial 16S ribosomal RNA". It matches the Rfam family "Bacterial small subunit ribosomal RNA", at positions 524 to 768 of the family's 1533-position model. The record is from RNAcentral.